This 501-nucleotide ribosomal RNA is filed under the name uncultured Mycobacterium sp. RNAcentral's name for it is "bacterial SSU rRNA". It matches the Rfam family "Bacterial small subunit ribosomal RNA", at positions 1 to 507 of the family's 1533-position model. The record is from RNAcentral. Lineage: Bacteria; Bacillati; Actinomycetota; Actinomycetes; Mycobacteriales; Mycobacteriaceae.
AGUAGUUUCGAUCCGUGGACUCAGGAGACGCUGGCGGCGUGCUUAACACAGUGCAAGUCGAACGGAAAGGCCCUUUCGGGGGUACUCGAGUGGCGAACGGGUGAGUAACACGUGGGUGAUCUGCCCUGCACUUCGGGAUAAGCUUGGGAAACUGGGUCUAAUACCGGAUAGGACCAUGCCAUGCAUGUGGUGUGGUGGAAAGCUUUUGCGGUGUGGGAUGGGCCCGCGGCCUAUCAGCUUGUUGGUGGGGUGAUGGCCUACCAAGGCGACGACGGGUAGCCGGCCUGAGAGGGUGUCCGGCCACACUGGGACUGAGAUACGGCCCAGACUCCUACGGGAGGCAGCAGUGGGGAAUAUUGCACAAUGGGCGCAAGCCUGAUGCAGCGACGCCGCGUGGGGGAUGACGGCCUUCGGGUUGUAAACCUCUUUCACCAUCGGCGAAGCCCAUGAUUUUUGUUGUGGGUGACGGUAGGUGGAGAAGAAGCACCGGCCAACUACGUG